RNAcentral lists this unclassified non-coding RNA (166 nucleotides) under uncultured Helotiales. RNAcentral describes it as "sequence contains ITS1". The record is from RNAcentral. Lineage: Eukaryota; Fungi; Ascomycota; Leotiomycetes; Helotiales.
CAGAGUUCAUGCCCUUACGGGUAGAUCUCCCACCCUAUGUUAUUAUUACAUCGUUGCUUUGGCGGGCCGCCCGGCCUCGGUCAGGCUACCGGCUCCGGCUGGUACGCGCCCGCCAGAGGAAACCCAACUCUGAGUUUAGUGUCGUCUGAGUACUAUACAAUAGUUA